This 512-nucleotide long non-coding RNA is filed under the name Homo sapiens (human). RNAcentral describes it as "HSALNT0171237". Lineage: Eukaryota; Metazoa; Chordata; Mammalia; Primates; Hominidae. The record is from RNAcentral.
CGGCGCCCCCACCCCGGCCGGCCCGCGCCCCGCGCCCUCUCCCGGCCCCCUCUCGGGUCUCCGGGCCGGCCCCGCCCUGACCGGCCGCGCGCGCUGUCGCCCGCAGAUUUCUUCGCCAAGCGCAAGAGAUCAGCGCCUGAGAAGUCGUCGGGCGAUGUCCCCGCGCCGUGUCCCUCUCCAAGCGCCGCCCCUGGCGUGGGCUCGGUGGAGCAGACCCCGCGCAAGAGGCUGCGGUGAGCCAAAGCCCAAAGAGCCCCGAGGGAACCUGCCGGGGCAGCGGACGUUGGAAGGGCGCUGGGCCUCGGCUGGGACCGUUCAUGUAGCAGCAACCGGCGGCGGCUGCCGCAGAGCAGCGUUCGGUUUUGUUUUUAAAUUUUGAAAACUGUGCAAUGUAUUAAUAACGUCUUUUUAUAUCUAAAUGUAUUCUGCACGAGAAGGUACACUGGUCCCAAGGUGUAAAGCUUUAAGAGUCAUUUAUAUAAAAUGUUUAAUCUCUGCUGAAACUCAGUGCA